UAAUGCUUGAUGCUUUUAGAAAAUUGAUCGCUUGAUGGAAUAAGGAAAAAGUUUGUGGAUCAAACAUAUGAAAUAAUCGAGAGGAAAGAGGGAAUUUAACCACCUAUGUUUAUACGUCCUUAGUGGAUAUUUGUGAAUUUUGAUAAAUUAGGUACAGAAGGAUCUAAGAUGUCAUUUCCUACUUGAAGAAAAAAAGCCAAUUUUGGUCCAUUUCCUUAACGUCCUACUUCCUUCUGUUGUUAGCGACAAGCUCAAUGCAGGAAAGGAACCACCUCUCAUAAUGCUUGAUGCUUUUAGAAAAUUGAUCGCUUGAUGGAAUAAGGACAAAGUUUGUGGAUCAAACAUAUGAAAUAAUCGAGAGGAAAGAGGGAAUUUAACCACCUAUGUUUAUACGUCCUUAGUGGAUUUUUGUGAAUUUUGAUAAAUUAGGUACAGAAGGAUCUAAGAUGUCAUUUCCUACUCGAAGAAAAAAAGCCAAUUUUGGUCCAUUUCCUUAACGUCCUACUUCCUUCUGUUGUUAGCGACAAGCUCAAUGCAGGAAAGGAACCACCUCUCAUAAUGCUUGACGCUUUUAGAAAAUUGAUCGCUUGAUGGAAUAAGGAAAAAGUUUGUGGAUCAAACAUAUGAAAUAAUCGAGAGGAAAGAGGGAAUUUAACCACCUAUGUUUAUACGUCCUUAGUGGAUUUUUGUGAAUUUUGAUAAAUUAGGUACAGAAGGAUCUAAGAUGUCAUUUCCUACUCGAAGAAAAAAAGCCAAUUUUGGUCCAUUUCCUUAACGUCCUACUUCCUUCUGUUAGCGACAAGCUCAAUGCAGGAAAGGAACCACCUCUCAUAAUGCUUGACGCUUUUAGAAAAUUGAUCGCUUGAUGGAAUAAGGAAAAAGUUUGUGGAUCCAACAUAUGAAAUAAUCGAGAGGAAAAAGGGAAUUUUACCACCUAAAACCCCAGACAUUGAUGUUGCUAAACAUGUGGCUGAAACCACUGUGGUAGAGCAGUUGGCACAAUAAAACAAUACAGUAUUUAGGUUUAGGUUUGUUACUAUUUCAGUUGCAUAAAUCGUUUCUAUAAAAUACUUGUGACAUUAUUUUUCGCCUUAAUCAAUUGUGUAACAUUACUGAGUAAAAAUGCCUAUGAUGUAGGGGAAAUAUCUAACCAGCGCAGCUGAUCAUCACGGCUGAUUACAGACACAGACACUCCUGACACGACAUGCGACCUGACCAUUGUACCCUGACUCGUUGUCCGCCGCCCUCUUCUCCCCUCUAGACCAUCUCUAGACACACUUUCAAAGCCGUAGAAUUCCCGUCACUAUUACAGUUAAAUUAUUUUUAUUUAAACUUUUGUUCUUGUAACUCCAUUAACAUCAUAUUUUCACCUCAUCAUAUCUUCUGUCAUUUAUUUAUUUAUUGCAUUUGAUUAUUAAUGUUUAUGUUUUGGACGCAACUACAGUCGACGCACAGGCUCGCUGCCCAUGUCGGCUUAUUCCUUAUAAACAUGUACGCUUUUUUUUUAAACUUAGAUGUAAU
Long non-coding RNA from Macrosteles quadrilineatus (aster leafhopper), 1521 nucleotides. RefSeq lists it as uncharacterized. The transcript is spliced from 4 exons. NCBI's taxonomy places the organism in Eukaryota, Metazoa, Arthropoda, Insecta, Hemiptera, Cicadellidae. The record is from RefSeq and is a predicted model, not a curated record.